UUUAAUUGAAGAGUUUGAUCAUGGCUCAGAUUGAACGCUGGCGGCAGGCCUAACACAUGCAAGUCGAGCGGUAA
This 74-nucleotide ribosomal RNA is filed under the name Providencia rettgeri. RNAcentral describes it as "partial 16S ribosomal RNA". It matches the Rfam family "Bacterial small subunit ribosomal RNA", at positions 1 to 72 of the family's 1533-position model. Lineage: Bacteria; Pseudomonadati; Pseudomonadota; Gammaproteobacteria; Enterobacterales; Morganellaceae. RNAcentral also lists the same sequence under 3 other names. The record is from RNAcentral.